GCACUCACUUUGGCAGCACAUAUACUAAAACUGGAAUGAUACAGAGAAGAUUAGCAUGGCCCCUGUGUAAGGAUGACAUGUAAAUUCAUGAAGUGUUCUGUAUUUCU
This is a small nuclear RNA of Phyllostomus hastatus (greater spear-nosed bat), 107 nucleotides long. Lineage: Eukaryota; Metazoa; Chordata; Mammalia; Chiroptera; Phyllostomidae. The record is from RefSeq and is a predicted model, not a curated record.